GGUUGCGCUGCUCGUUUUCACCGCGUGGUAACCUCGCAUUGGCCAAUGGCUUGGGGGCUCAUGUGAUGUGUUGGUUGGCUGGGUCAACCGUUUCGUGGUGCGUGCGCACCCUGUCCCUGCACGCCGCGUGCACGUCACGCCAUUUGCGGGAGAUCGUGCGAGAGCCACGCCCAUUGGUCACCGCCCCGCACAAACCCUACCCUUUCCAGCACUCCCAAAUCGAUGCAGCCGCCUCCACUCUCCCUCUCUUCCUCCCCCAACGCGCCGGCCGCUUCCACCUGCCAUACCGCCUCCCCGCUGCCGCCAUGGCCUCUUCAGGAGGCACGCCCCUCCAUAGUGCGAAGCAGGAGACCAGGAUCCGAAUGAGGAAGAGGAGAUCCGGGCGCCCCAACGGUGGAUCAAUCGAUGCGAGGUGACGACGAGCUCCUCCGGACGUGGGGGAGCAGCCAGGCUGGAGAUCCAGUCGGCGCAUUCCCCACUGGGUUGGGGAGACGCCGACAAUAGGGGCAAGGGGCAUCUGGGUCGAAGCUGCAGCGCUCCGGUCCCCAAGCCGCCUCCAGGCUCGCUUCCUCCUCCAUCCUCCCGCAUCUCAUCCAUCUCGACGGAUACGAGGCGUGCAGGCAUGGAGUCGAGGUUCUCCGGCGGCGGCAGGAACCUCCAGGCAGAGAGCGACCCCAUGGAUCCGUCCCUGCAGGAGAGAAGGAAGGAGAGGAGACAUGCCAUGGAGAUGGGAUGAGAACGUCCAUGGCCAGCCAAUCGACCCCCACCUCCGGUGCGCGACCCCAUGAAGGAUUUUGCGCUGCCGCCUUCUUUCGCCGGUCCAUGCCCUGGAAGAGCGACACCAGCCAGGCAUUGUAUGGGAAUGAAGCAAAAAGCAUGAAGAAAAUAGAGCAGGUCGUGUGUCAUCGUGCAUGUAGUCUACCUUCCAUUGGCGUUACUGCACCUGGUUAUCUACAGAGGAAGGCAAGGAUAACUAGAUUAAACAUUUCACAAGACCCUCCCAAUUACAGGCACAAACUCCUUUCAAGAUAUUACAAGUGUGGUUGAUUACGGGAGAUUGUCAAAUGAAAAGAAGCUAUAUCCUUUAUAUUUAUCUAGAUGUUUAAUUAGCUGCACAACCAUACGUGAUUCUAUAAGGAAACUAUUUAUCCUGAUGAUCUUGAUAUCCAAUCAUGUAUUACAGUAUUAGUAUAGGCUGUAAUUUUUGGCUAGGAAUCUAUAUGUACAGUUAUGUAUGAAUGGGCUAUGAUUCUUUUUUCCUUCUGAGUAGAUUCUUUUUUUAUUCACUCCCUGUGAAAUAAUUUCAGAGCUACUGUGUUGUAGUAAUUAUUUGGCACAUCCGUAACUCAACCAGUUUAUGCGUGUUGAUUUAGUGUGUAUUUGGUUCCAAAGUGAACAAAUUAUUGGCCUUCGCUAGGCAAGGAUAGGUGUUUGGUACCAAAGAAAAAUUAACUUUGUCAAGCUAACUAGCACACAUGGUCUGAAGCAGCUACUUUUUAUAUCCCUGGACUAUAGAUAUUACAUGCAUCAGUACUUGAUGCAUCUAUGAUAUGCUUUUGCUAUUUAUUGUGGCCCUUAAUGACUACUCUGCUGUGAACCCAGUGUUUAGGUUGCAGGCUCAACUAUAUAUCCAUGGAUGUUACCCAUAUGGCAAUCUAUAAUUCUAUAUGAAUUUUGUAGCUAGCUUGAAGCGAAUGUGGUGAUCAAGGCUCUAAUCUGCAUUCUUUAUUUGCAUGAAUGUCGUGUGCAGAUAGGUACUAACCAUGGAAUAUUUUCCUCAUUGACAACAAGUACUCCGAUAACAAUUUAUAAAAAUUGAUAUAAUUUCACAAGUAUACAGAUAGCCGACAAGGCAGCAAUGCUAUUGUUCAAAUGUAGUUGAGUUGAGCUUUAGGUGUUUCAGUAACAGUGUUGCGUGCGUGCUUUAUUUGUUUGUUUCGGUUUCUUAUGCUGUUUAUUUCAUUUAUACUGCUUCCUGUGCUAGGAUGUGCCUUGCUGUGUCAUUUGUGAUCCCAUUUUUAGACCCUGGUGGCUCAGUUUUGUUUGCCCGCUCUUUCAUGCGUGUGUGAGAUUAUUGACGAUGGGGUUGUGCUUGUUGGGGUGGAGCCAAAUCAGUGUCUCCCUGCCGCCAGUUAGGGUGUUCUUCUGGGCAACUGGCGGUACGGGGGCACUGUCCGCCUAUGAGCAGGCUGCUUUGCAAGCUAUAGAAUUCUUACAGGAACGAUGUAAAUCAUGUUGCUGUUGAUUAGGAUGAUUCAUAUACAACUUGGGUCUAUAUUUUUAUUAGCCUGAUUAGGGGAGAGAGAGAGGCAGGGAGGUGCCUAGGACGAGUAGGAAGGCUCUGGGCAAAAUUUUGCCGAUCCUGUGUAAGUUUUGGUUUGCCCAGUUAAACGUGUACACUUCAUGUCAUAUAGCAUAAUAAUAGCAGAUGAUAAACUAUCGUUGUCAUAUUAUUGAACUUGAUAUCCUGUUUGAACUAGACAGAUAAUUUUGACAAGAUUUUAUCCUAGCGUAAACAUGCUGUCAUAGUGUCAACACAAUAAUAAUAGAAAAACCUUUUCAAAAUUCAGGUGAGGUGAAGCAAGCAAGCACCUCCCCGUGUUUUAUAUGUAAGCAAUCAACCCCCCCCCCCCGCGUGUUGCUUUGCCCGACCAUUGUUCGUUUAAACCUUUCUUCUGUAUUAGCGCUACUGGAUAACCGUCAUUGAUCUACCAAAAAGGAAUCAUAACACUACAGGUCAUGGAAAAUAGAUAUAGUUAGCACAUAAUCCUGCAAGUUUCACCUAAUAUGCACAUGUCGUUUCAGUUUUCCAAAAUAUAUACCAUUGAGAAAGUUACUGGAUGCAGUGCAGAUUCUAGGAUAUUAACAUUUGCAGCCAUACGUUGGUUUCAAUGGUGACAUAUUUUUGUCAAUCCCACAGAGAUAAUUUAAUUCAAGACUAGCAAAUACAGUUAAGUUUAAACUGUUUCCUUUGAUGAAAUUCUAAUGUUUUUCCAAACAAAGUAUGAUGAACUUAAAAUCCAUAAUAUGAAGCUGUGUCUGCUGCAUCAGUACAGUUGAUGCUUAGGGACUAAUUCUUUAUAUUUCCUGAUGUAUUAGUUGAGAUCGAGGAGAGAGCAAGCCAUUGCAGAGGUGAGGGGAUACGAGGGUGGGCAGAGGUCAGGCAUUGCUAACAGAUUUGCGGCGGAGUGGGAGAGGUGAUGCCGGCCGGCCGACGCCUCACCACCGGCUCCUGUUUGGCGGUGGCAAAGAGAAGGGUGCCGAGGAUGUGUUGCUCUAUGCAUGGCUGUUGAAGUACAUCAUCGUUAUGAUGUGUAUGGUUUCUCUAUUUUCAGCCCUACUGCUCUAGAGCCCAAAUCCCAUGACCAUGCCCCCACCUCUCCUUCGUUGAAUGAAGGGAGUCUGGUUGCUAAAAAGUGAGUUUUCUUAAUCAGUAUGUAUGGUCCCUCUGCAUAUGCCAUUUCUUCAUAUUUAAGAGGCCCUCAAGCUUUGUCAGUUUUCUAAUAGAUAUGGAAUUUUAAUUUGAUAGUCCCAACAACGGUGGGUACUGAUGGAGCUAUCUAUUAUUUAUUGUUAAUUUGUAAUACUUUUGUCAGCUUCUAGCAUGUCGUUGCUCUACCAGAGUGCAAUUUUCUCUGCGUGGCAUACACCAGUUACCAUUAGUUGAUAUGUUUGUUGAAGUUUUAUUGCAAGUUAAAUAAAUGUGUAGUGUGGCAUACUGAUUAUUAUAGUUUGAUAAUGUCAGGCGCCGAUGGAUUUAUAGAUAUGUAAAUAAAAUACCUUUAAGUAAAACUAAGCAUUUAAUUAUUGUUCUGUUAUGUUAUUGAUUUCACCGGCUUUAUGUCGGCCGAUUAGUUCUGAAGGAUUCCACAUCGGCUAAUUUAGAUUAUGUUACUAGAGUAUUAGAAGAAGUUCCUGAUAUAUGUAUUUAGAGAAUUUGCUGAGAUUUGAUACAAAAUAUUGAUGACCAGGCAUUAUACUGCGCAUAAGCACAAUUUUUUAGUUUUUCUUUUUAUUGUUGCAGCAGCUUUUCUAUAGCAAUAGCCAAAUAGUGUGACAUAACACUAUUCCAUUUUCAUAGGCCAUAACACAUCUUUACAUGUAAGUUUGUUCUCUAGAUAGUUCUAUUUCCAAGAUUUUCAUAUCAUAUUUGUCGUGGGAUCUAACUGCUUUACCAUAUUUUCCUGGUGUGGACGAUGUUAUAGAGUGAGCUACCAUCACUUCUCAUUACUGACUGUAAUCAAUAUAUAUGUGUUUAUGCCAUAAAAGAUGGAUAUUUGUUGAAGCCAUUGUCGUGUCAUGUAAUUACUUGCAGAUCAACUAUAUAGUUUUGUUCGGAUUGUAAAGUGGAAACGAUAAAACCCUACAACUCAUGUGUGAUUGUCAUUUGAUUA
This is a long non-coding RNA of Triticum aestivum (bread wheat), 4394 nucleotides long. RefSeq lists it as uncharacterized. The transcript is spliced from 3 exons. NCBI's taxonomy places the organism in Eukaryota, Viridiplantae, Streptophyta, Magnoliopsida, Poales, Poaceae. The record is from RefSeq and is a predicted model, not a curated record.